Molecule: ribosomal RNA, 407 nt
Filed under: uncultured bacterium
Lineage: Bacteria
Description: partial 16S ribosomal RNA
Rfam family: Bacterial small subunit ribosomal RNA
Source: RNAcentral
GAUGAACGCUAGCUACAGGCUUAACACAUGCAAGUCGCGGGACCGGCGCACGGGUGAGUAACGCGUAUCCAACCUGCCCUUCACCUCGGUUUCACCCGGCGAAAGUCGGGCUAAUCCCGUAUGGUGCAGGUUGGGGAUGCGUGGGAGUUGCUUGACGGCGGGGUAACGGCGAACCGUGGCUACGAUCGGUAGGGGUUCUGGGAGGGAGGUCCCCCAGACUGGAACUGAGACACGGUCGGGACUCCGACGGGAGGCAGCAGUGAGGAAUAGUGGGCAAUGGGGGUAAGCCGGAACCAGCCAAGUGGCGGGCAGGACGACGGCCGAUGGGGUGUAAACUGCUUGUAUGCUGGGAUAGGUACCGCAUGAAUAAGGACCGGCUAAUUCCGUGCCAGCAGCCGCGGUAAUUC